UUGCAAUUGCACCCUCCCUAAACGUGCUCUAAAGCCCUCUAAAAUUUCCCGCUUACAUUUCCCUCUAUUUUUUUGGCGAAAAAUUAGGCUCUAAAUUACUCUAAUAAAAAUAUACCUGUCAAAUUUACCCACACAACAAGAAGAUCUCGUCCUUCUUCCCUAAGAUCUGGCUCUUCUUAUACCUCUCUGUUCAUUGAGUGACGCGGGGUGGGUUCGGAGGAAAUCAUUAAUGGAAGCGAUAAAAUUCUUCUAAUUUCUCUUCUCAAAUUUCAAAACUUUCUCUUCGUCUGGUUCUGUGGCUAUCGACUUCAAUUGGGGAUUUCAUUUUUUUAGGGUUUUCAGUCACUGUUGACCUCUAUUUUUCAAGGACAUACUUGUAAGGUUUUUCUGGAAUUUUUACUUUCAAUUUAAUGACUUUUCAGUUUGGCUUUUCUGAAAUUCCUAAAAUUCCUUUUCUUGUUAAUGACUUCUUUAAAUUUCGGGAAAAAUCCUCUUUUCUUGUUGAGAGAUUUGCAUUUUCUUUUAAGAAUUUUGCGAUCAUAUACUAAUUUUAUAUUGGAAUUAGAUCGAUGCUUUUAUGUGAUGCCAAAAAUGCAUGGGUUUAGUUUCAUUAACCUUCAUGUGUUGCCUUUACCUCUACUAAAAUUUUGUUUCAUUCUAGGUCAAUCACGAGCAGAAGUUCAUGAUUCAUUUAUAACUUGUUGACACUUUCCUUUUUCUCUUGUUGGUAUAAUUUGAAGUUUUAAUUUAAUUUCACGCUAUUGUGGUGAUGAGUUAAUAUGGCGCAUCUUUGGUUCUACACAUUUGGUGAAGCUUAAAUUUUGGUUGAGUGUCUUUUCCUGUUACAUUCCGAUAAAAUAGAGUUCAUCUCAUUUUGAGUGCUUAUUUGGUCCAAUGUUGUGCUUGUGUACUUGAAUUCUUGAUUUGAUACCGUGUGAAGAAUAACUUAGUGAGUAUGAUUAGACUGAUUUGUUUGAAUGUUGCUGGAUGAGAUCUAAAUGUAUAUGAUUCCCACACAUUUGUCUAUAAGUAUGGCAAAAAUCUUCGUUUAUUUUUUAGUUAUUUUCUGUUUUUUAAUUGUUGGAAAAAUAUUAGUUCUCAGAAAGAUAGUAGAGUAUAGGAUACUGAUUGACAAAACUUAAUACGAAAGGUGAUAAACCCACCAAUCCACCAUUUACAUCUUUGAUAAUAUUUGGGUGUGCAAUAUUCAAGAAGUCAGAGAUUAGGAGAUCUCACAAAGGUACAUAAACUUUUGUUCGAACCUCGGUCAUAUAUGGUACUCUCUGCUCCAAUAAUUUUUCUUUAGUUGAUUUAGAAUGCGGGGUUGCAACUACUAUUAAUUACAAAUUUUGUAGCUAAGCAUCACUUGAUCUCGGGUUUGGCAUCAUGUCCUUGGCCUAUCUAUGUACACUUGGCAACUAAGAACCCCAAUUCCAUGUCUACAGUUUAUGUAAGCUACUUCAGGAAUUGAUUGUUCAUUGAGUAAUUAUCUAAUGUGUAAAGAAAGUCUCAACUCUAAUUUAACUAGUGCGGGUCAUUAUUAUUUUUACUAUAACAUGCUUUCUUGGUCCUGUCAUCACUAUUUUUUGUGUAAUUAUUUGGUCCUUUUUCACUUUGAUUUAUAUUCUCUUACUGUCCUUCAUACUUCUAAUAUUUCGCAAGCUUCUGUAGUUCGUUCCCACUUUGAUUUGUAUUUCAAAUAUUGACAGCAAAGGAUAGUACUUCAAAACUUUCGACCGUAUUAAUGCUUAACAAUUUAGGGAGAGAAAAGUUUAAAUAGCUAUAAGGAUAAAUUAUUUUUUAACAUUUCAGCAGUUUAUAUCAGCUAAUUUCAAAGUAGUUCAAUGUUUCGAGACUCGACUGCGUAUAUUGGAGGCUUAGCAUGUGAAUUCCUAAUUUUACACCUCAGGAGUAACUAGUUUGAUAAAUCUUCUCCUACCAAUCUACCAGAUUCGAAAGUUCGCCAUCUCACAAUUUCUCUUCUCUCAGAUCCAGGUGCCAGAGCAUCCGAGAGAGAGUUGUUCCUUACCUUCAGAGCAUUCCGGAGUUAGCAAGGUAGUUGCACGGCGUCCGCAGCCUUGCCUUUCUCCUUCCUAUCUACUAGCAUUUGUUUCUCACAGACUCAUCUUAUAUUGAGUAGACAAUAUCAGAUUGUAUUUUAGUGGCUCAUGACUAGUGACACCGAGAUCGAGCAGUGGUUGAAGUUUUACAUAUUUUUUUCCGCUUGUUUUGAAAUGUUUAAACGAAAGAUUUAUGAUAAUAUCUGAUUAGAAAAUGAAUUAAGAAAAAGACUUGUUUUGUUAUAAA
Molecule: long non-coding RNA, 2307 nt
Organism: Nicotiana tabacum (common tobacco)
Lineage: Eukaryota; Viridiplantae; Streptophyta; Magnoliopsida; Solanales; Solanaceae
Source: RefSeq, a predicted model, not a curated record